AAAUUUAUGAGGUCUGAAAACCCACUUUUGACAGUCUCCCAUGUCUAGAUAUGUUGCUACUUUUGUAUACAUAAUUAAUUUCAAUGUUAUUAACUUUGUUAGUACGAUCCACUUUAUACUUACAUUUCCAAGACCAUAACAAUGUUGGCUUUUUCUUCAAAGGCAUCUACACAUUGCACGAGCUUUGGGUGAUGCAGACAGUUCAUGAUGCUGAUUUCAUCCCUUAUGUUCUCUUUUUCCUUUGCAGAAUAUGCUUUGAAAAAUUUUCCUGCCCACACUUUUCCAGUCUUCUUUUCAACAAGCCUAAAGACUUGUCCAAAUUUCCCCGAUCCCAGUCUUUCUUCAAUAUUAUAGACAUCUGAAACUUUCUGUUCGGUGUUGAUAGUAACUGUCCGAUAGUUGACCUCUGUUUCUUUGCCUUCAUCGUCAGACAGCUCUGCUUCCUCCUCUUUAAGUUCUUCUUCUUGUUUCU
Molecule: long non-coding RNA, 472 nt
Filed under: Gallus gallus (chicken)
Lineage: Eukaryota; Metazoa; Chordata; Aves; Galliformes; Phasianidae
Source: RNAcentral